RNAcentral lists this ribosomal RNA (253 nucleotides) under uncultured bacterium. RNAcentral's name for it is "partial 16S ribosomal RNA". It matches the Rfam family "Bacterial small subunit ribosomal RNA", at positions 524 to 776 of the family's 1533-position model. The record is from RNAcentral.
UACGUAGGGGGCUAGCGUUGUCCGGAAUUAUUGGGCGUAAAGCGCGUGUAGGCGGCUUUGCAAGUCGGGUGUGAAAGCCCUCGGCUCAACCGAGGAAGUGCGCCCGAAACUGCAGAGCUUGAGUACCGGAGAGGAUGGCGGAAUUCCCCAAGUAGAGGUGAAAUUCGUAGAUAUGGGGAGGAACACCGGUGGCGAAGGCGGCCAUCUGGACGGAUACUGACGCUGAGACGCGAAAGCUAGGGGAGCAAACGGG